Long non-coding RNA from Sinocyclocheilus grahami, 79 nucleotides. RefSeq lists it as uncharacterized. The transcript is spliced from 3 exons. Lineage: Eukaryota; Metazoa; Chordata; Actinopteri; Cypriniformes; Cyprinidae. The record is from RefSeq and is a predicted model, not a curated record.
UUUUCACCUCAUAAUUAUGGGGAGGCUGUGCCUCCGCUGCCUCCCCCGACGAGCCGCCACUGCAACUAUCAGACCAGCA